Long non-coding RNA from Metopolophium dirhodum (rose-grain aphid), 1608 nucleotides. RefSeq lists it as uncharacterized. The transcript has 7 exons. Lineage: Eukaryota; Metazoa; Arthropoda; Insecta; Hemiptera; Aphididae. The record is from RefSeq and is a predicted model, not a curated record.
UUGAAUCAUUCGAUUAUUAGGUAGGUAUUUGAAAUUUGAACAGAAAUACAGACUCCGUCGUUCAGAGUUGUAUUCAUACAUUUAGUAAAAAAUUGCCAUGCAAAAGUGUACUCUUUUUAGUAAAACAUCCAAAGUAUCGCCUCGCCACAUUACGUUAAUUAUCAUUAAUUUCCAAAAUAGAAAAUACAAGUAACUAAUGGCUACAAAUCUUCUAAUUAAAUGAUUAUCCGAUUUCUAUCUGGUACAGAAUCUGCGGUAAUUAUUUCACAACCAGUGAUUAUAGACAAGGCUCAGUAAAUCAUCUAAGAGAAAAUUGUAUUUCUUUGACGAUGGGUUGAAAGAACAUGAACAGACAAACAAAGGAUUUGGAGACGUUACAGUUGAUGAUUUUAAUUCACCCAGAAAAGCCUCAGAAACCGAAAAAUGUCUAAUUCACACAUACCUAUAUUUUACACACAAAUUUCCCGUGUCUUAUUCUAAACAAUUGGAUCAAAAGACAUCUCCAGCUGUUAUCACACAUAUAACUUGUGAAGACACGACUAUUGUACAAGAUUUUUUUGUCAAACGCUUAUUCUGUCAAAAUGGUUGGCAGGAUCUGUGAAAAGGUAUAUAUUGAAGAUGUUGCUGAUAGGUUGUUAAAAGAAGUUGAGUGGUCUACAUACGUACAUACACGGAUUACUGGUUGUCAAUACUGUUCCCAUUCAUGGAACUUACCUCUCAACAAGGAUAGACAAAUUUCUUUGAAAGAAAAGCCAUGGGAGAACACCAAGAGUCAACCAAAAAUUGGAGAAAUACCCGAUUGACAAUAAUCUUUAGAGCCUAUUAACUUGAGAGCUGUGUUGUUAUAUUUUUAAGCCGUAUACUCUAAUAAUGUACAUCAUAAAAAUGAUAAUUCCAAUUUUAGUAAACAGCAAAAAUCAUUCUUUUUGGACAAUGAUACUCUGUAUCAUAAAAUACAUUGUGCCAGUUUGAUAUUGAAUAACAGAUGUCAGAUGAAUAUAUUCAAAAUUGUUUAUGAAGGUUCCACUGAGGAUGCAUUUGCCUUUUCUAGUCAUCGUGGUGGGAAGGCAACACUUCAUCUAAUAAACCAGCAGUAUUAUAUUAUAUUUGAUGACUUUGGAUACAAAGCAAUACAUUAAAAAAUGUAAUAUUUGUCAAUGUGUCAAUCCAGUUACAACACUAAAAGUGAUACCUGAACUACACCCAGUUCCUCUACCAAAAAAGGUUUUCAAGCAUUUUGGAACCACCUAAUUACCUACAGUAUGCAGCAGUUGCCAUUGAUUAUUGCAGUAAAAGGUGUGAGGUGUUGCCAUUGUCCGAACAAGAGCAACUACUGUAGCUUAUUAUAUUUAUGGUGAAAUAAUAAUAAUUAUUAUUUGUUGACAUUCCUACCAAAAAUUGUGAUUAGCGACCAGUGUCAGGAAUUUUGUAAUAAUUGACUGGAACUAUUCAUAAAGUUAGUUCACCAUACUAUCCACAAAGAUUCAAUCGCGCCAUUUUAAAUUAUUUGCUCAAUGUAUGUUAACUCUUUUUGUAUAAUAAAUAUAAAAUAAUAUAUUAUUAAAACUACAAUAAUAUCAGUUUUAGAUAUUUUGAAAAUAAAAUUUA